AGAUUAACAUUUUUACAGCUUCGUACAAAACAAACAAAUAGGUGUGAUUAGCUCAUGUCUCGAUGGACACACACUGUACGGGGGGGUGAAUGUUUUGAUGACUCAUCAGUUUUGAUUUGAUGAAGGAUAAGAGUUAUUCACAAUAAGGCGUGUAGCUGACCUGAUUGACAGCUCUCAGCCUGUGGGUGACAUCACUCAGGCCAUCCGGGGGAGACCUCCCUCACAGCGAGCUGUUGAAGAGAAGCAACCGAAGUCCACCCCAAAAUAACCAACAAAUACAGAUGUUGUGGAGGCUCAGGUUUCUUCCUCUGUCUCUGCAGCUCUCUGGGCACCUCGACGGACAAGUCACCAAUAAUCCACACUGUGUCUAUAGGAGAAAUACAAAGGUGUUCAAUUAAUGCCUCAGACAAGACAAAAUGUACAGUUAACUACAUGUGACAGCUCAGGGUGUUUUUUUAUUAUUAGCCACAUCUGCAGGAAUAAUAUUGAACAAGGUAGCUGCAAUAAUAAUAGAUGUCAGUCUUAAACACUAUUAUUUCUAAUACUUAAAGUUUUUGGUGUGAAGCUGACACUGUCCACAGACUCCAUGACUUCACAGGGUUCUAUAGAAAACAAAUAUCUUAUAAUAAAUACUAAAUCAUUAUUUUUAAAUUGUCAUGUUCACCUCAUCGCUGUUGACAUCAGUAAAUAUAAAACACAGACAUUC
Molecule: long non-coding RNA, 706 nt
Organism: Labrus mixtus (cuckoo wrasse)
Lineage: Eukaryota; Metazoa; Chordata; Actinopteri; Labriformes; Labridae
Exons: 2
Source: RefSeq, a predicted model, not a curated record